This is a non-coding RNA of Camellia sinensis, 372 nucleotides long. Lineage: Eukaryota; Viridiplantae; Streptophyta; Magnoliopsida; Ericales; Theaceae. The record is from RefSeq and is a predicted model, not a curated record.
AAUUUUCAAUAUGUCAGCUAAUCAAGCUUAGGCAACAAAUAACAAAAUUACAAGCUUGCUUACAGCAAAUGUCCCCAGCUAAGCAGACUGAAGAGGAAACUGAAGAGCUGACCAACCAGGUCCUAGAUGAAAUUGGAGUUGAUGUUGCCUCUCUAUUAUCAGUAUCGCCCAAAGGAAGAAUUGUUGGAAAGAUGACCGAGGAUGCUAAUAGGUAUCUUGUGUUAUAUUAUAAGUAAAUUGACGAUCAAGAACUUAACGGCACGUGUUUUGUUCUUAGAGUCACAGGGUGUGGCUGGGAGUAUGAGCUUGAGAGAGGUGUCAGAUGCAUCUAGUGGGCAACAAGCUUCAAAAGAAAAUGAAUAGGUAUGCCAC